RNAcentral lists this ribosomal RNA (229 nucleotides) under uncultured bacterium. RNAcentral's name for it is "partial 16S ribosomal RNA". It matches the Rfam family "Bacterial small subunit ribosomal RNA", at positions 568 to 796 of the family's 1533-position model. The record is from RNAcentral.
UCCGUAGGCGGAUUGAUAAGUCAGAGGUGAAAUCCCGCAGCUUAACUGUGGAACUGCCUUUGAAACUGUUAGUCUUGAGUUAUAUGGAAGUAGAUAGAAUGUGUAGUGUAGCGGUGAAAUGCAUAGAGAUUACACAGAAUACCGAUUGCGAAGGCAGUCUACUACGUAUAUACUGACGCUAAUGGACGAAAGCGUGGGGAGCGAACAGGAUUAGAUACCCUGGUAGUCC